RNAcentral lists this ribosomal RNA (506 nucleotides) under uncultured bacterium. RNAcentral describes it as "partial 16S ribosomal RNA". It matches the Rfam family "Bacterial small subunit ribosomal RNA", at positions 29 to 523 of the family's 1533-position model. The record is from RNAcentral.
AGUGAACGCUGGCGGUAGGCCUAACACAUGCAAGUCGAACGGCAGCACAGGAGAGCUUGCUCUCUGGGUGGCGAGUGGCGGACGGGUGAGGAAUACAUCGGAAUCUACUUUUUCGUGGGGAAUAACGUAGGGAAACUUACGCUAAUACCGCAUACAACCUACGGGUGAAAGCAGGGGACCUUCGGGCCUUGCGCGAUUGAAUGAGCCGAUGUCGGAUUAGCUAGUUGGCGGGGUAAAGGCCCACCAAGGCGACGAUCCGUAGCUGGUCUGAGAGGAUGAUCAGCCACACUGGAACUGAGACACGGUCCAGACUCCUACGGGAGGAAGCAGUGGGGAAUAUUGGACAAUGGGCGCAAGCCUGAUCCAGCCAUACCGCGUGGGUGAAGAAGGCCUUCGGGUUGUAAAGCCCUUUUGUUGGGAAAGAAAUCCAGCUGGCUAAUACCCGGUUGGGAUGACGGUACCCAAAGAAUAAGCACCGGCUAACUUCGUGCCAGCCGCCGCAGUAA